RNAcentral lists this ribosomal RNA (911 nucleotides) under Buchnera aphidicola (Prociphilus erigeronensis). RNAcentral's name for it is "bacterial SSU rRNA". It matches the Rfam family "Bacterial small subunit ribosomal RNA", at positions 363 to 1268 of the family's 1533-position model. Lineage: Bacteria; Pseudomonadati; Pseudomonadota; Gammaproteobacteria; Enterobacterales; Erwiniaceae. The record is from RNAcentral.
AUUGCACAAUGGGCGAAGCCUGAUGCAGCUAUACCGCGUGUAUGAAGAAGGCCUUAGGGUUGUAAAGUACUUUCGUUGGGGAGGAAAAAUAAAUAGAUAAUACCUGUUUAUCGUGACGUUACCCAAAAAAGAAGCACCGGCUAACUCCGUGCCAGCAGCCGCGGUAAUACGGAGGGUGCAAGCGUUAAUCAGAAUUACUGGGCGUAAAGAGCUCGUAGGCGGUUUUUUAAGUCAGAUGUGAAAUCCCUGGGCUUAACCUAGGAACUGCAUUUGAAACUAAAAGACUAGAGUAUCGUAGAGGGAGGUAGAAUUCUAGGUGUAGCGGUGAAAUGCGUAGAUAUCUGGAGGAAUACCUGUGGCGAAAGCGGCCUCCUAAAUGAAUACUGACGCUGAGGUGCGAAAGCAUGGGGAGCAAACAGGAUUAGAUACCCUGGUAGUCCAUGCCGUAAACGAUGUCGACUUGGAGGUUGUUUCCUUGAGAAGUGACUUCCGAAGCUAACGCGUUAAGUCGACCGCCUGGGGAGUACGGUCGCAAGGCUAAAACUCAAAUGAAUUGACGGGGGCCCGCACAAGCGGUGGAGCAUGUGGUUUAAUUCGAUGCAACGCGAAAAACCUUACCUGGUCUUGACAUCCACAGAAUUUUUCAGAGAUGAAAAAGUGCCUUAGGGAACUGUGAGACAGGUGCUGCAUGGCUGUCGUCAGCUCGUGUUGUGAAAUGUUGGGUUAAGUCCCGCAACGAGCGCAACCCUUAUCCUCUGUUGCCAUUGGUUCGGCCAGGAACUCAGAGGAGACUGCCGGUUAUAAACCGGAGGAAGGCGGGGACGACGUCAAGUCAUCAUGGCCCUUACGACCAGGGCUACACACGUGCUACAAUGGUGUAUCCAAAGAGAAGCAACUCUGCAAAGACAAGC